This 483-nucleotide ribosomal RNA is filed under the name uncultured bacterium. RNAcentral's name for it is "partial 16S ribosomal RNA". It matches the Rfam family "Bacterial small subunit ribosomal RNA", at positions 30 to 507 of the family's 1533-position model. The record is from RNAcentral.
AUUGAACGCUGGCGGCAGGCCUAACACAUGCAAGUCGAGCGGAUGAAGGGAGCUUGCUCCUGGAUUCAGCGGCGGACGGGUGAGUAAUGCCUAGGAAUCUGCCUGGUAGUGGGGGAUAACGUCCGGAAACGGGCGCUAAUACCGCAUACGUCCUGAGGGAGAAAGUGGGGGAUCUUCGGACCUCACGCUAUCAGAUGAGCCUAGGUCGGAUUAGCUAGUUGGUGGGGUAAAGGCCUACCAAGGCGACGAUCCGUAACUGGUCUGAGAGGAUGAUCAGUCACCCUGGAACUGAGACACGGUCCAGCCUCCUACGGGAGGCAGCAGUGGGGAAUAUUGGACAAUGGGCGAAAGCCUGAUCCAGCCAUGCCGCGUGUGUGAAGAAGGUCUUCGGAUUGUAAAGCACUUAAGUUGGGAGGAAGGGCAGUAAGUUAAUACCUUGCUGUUUUGACGUUACCAACAGAAUAAGCACCGGCUAACUUCGUG